RNAcentral lists this transfer RNA (84 nucleotides) under Streptomyces phage Sham. RNAcentral's name for it is "tRNA-Glu". It matches the Rfam family "tRNA". Rfam says of the family: Transfer RNA (tRNA) molecules are approximately 80 nucleotides in length. Their secondary structure includes four short double-helical elements and three loops (D, anti-codon, and T loops). Lineage: Duplodnaviria; Heunggongvirae; Uroviricota; Caudoviricetes; Stanwilliamsviridae. The record is from RNAcentral.
GCACAUGUGGCGGAAUGGCAUACGCGCUAGAUUGAGGUUCUAGUCUCCUUCGGGGGGUGCAGGUUCGACUCCUGUCAUGUGCAC